GACGGAGGGUGCAAGCGUUGUUCGGAAUUACUGGGCGUAAAGGGCGCGUAGGCGGUCUGCUAAGUUCGGUGUGAAAUCCCCUGGCUCAACUGGGGAACUGCGCCGGAAACUGGCAGACUAGAGUAGCGGAGAGGAGGGUGGAAUUCCUGGUGUAGCGGUGAAAUGCGUAGAUAUCAGGAGGAACACCGGUGGCGAAGGCGGCCCUCUGGACGGAUACUGACGCUGAGGCGCGAAAGCGUGGGGAGCAAACAGG
This 253-nucleotide ribosomal RNA is filed under the name uncultured bacterium. Its description in RNAcentral is "partial 16S ribosomal RNA". It matches the Rfam family "Bacterial small subunit ribosomal RNA", at positions 524 to 776 of the family's 1533-position model. The record is from RNAcentral.